This 465-nucleotide ribosomal RNA is filed under the name Vreelandella stevensii. RNAcentral's name for it is "partial 16S ribosomal RNA". It matches the Rfam family "Bacterial small subunit ribosomal RNA", at positions 338 to 795 of the family's 1533-position model. The record is from RNAcentral. Lineage: Bacteria; Pseudomonadati; Pseudomonadota; Gammaproteobacteria; Oceanospirillales; Halomonadaceae.
CCUACGGGGGGCAGCAGUGGGGAAUAUUGGACAAUGGGGGCAACCCUGAUCCAGCCAUUCCGCGUGUGUGAAGAAGGCCCUCGGGUUGUAAAGCACUUUCAGUGAGGAAGAACGCCUGGUGGUUAAUACCCAUCAGGAAAGACAUCACUCACAGAAGAAGCACCGGCUAACGCCGUGCCAGCAGCCGCGGUAAUACGGAGGGUGCGAGCGUUAAUCGGAAUUACUGGGCGUAAAGCGCGCGUAGGUGGCUUGAUAAGCCGGUUGUGAAAGCCCCGGGCUCAACCUGGGAACGGCAUCCGGAACUGUCCAGCUAGAGUGCAGGAGAGGAAGGUAGAAUUCCCGGUGUAGCGGUGAAAUGCGUAGAGAUCGGGAGGAAUACCAGUGGCGAAGGCGGCCUUCUGGACUGACACUGACACUGAGGUGCGAAAGCGUGGGUAGCAAACAGGAUUAGAUACCCCGGUAGUC